CCAUCUAACCGACAUACUCCUUCCCUCAAUCACAAAUAAAAUCACGCCUCACACAUCUUCCUCCUUCCCUCACUCACGGCUGCUAUCUUACUCCUUUCUCCCUCACUCACGGCUGACCCACGAACACCACCAUCAACCGGCAGCCCGGCCACGAGCUCCACCACCAACAGCAACCACUUCUCCUCCUUCCUUUAUUGUUGUUCAAGAUUGCAAGGUCCUUCAAUGAUGAUUGAGGGCCUAUCUCUUACAGGGGAUAGAUCCACUUUCAGAUUGCCAUCUUUAGUGCAGAUGGAUGUGCUGCUCAUUUAUGUGUCAUGUGCUGCGAUAGCGAGGACAUCGUUUUCGGAAGGUUAACUUAUAAUGACAUUUUGACAAAUCAUGUCUUUUUAAAUAAAAAUAGAUAUUUUAUAAUGUAUUAAUUUAGUUUAUAGCUGGGUUGUAAGUAAUUGUAUUACAGUUUUGUAAAGUUUUUAAAUACUCUGAUAUUGGUUGUUGUGGCUAUCGACCCACAGGUCGGAUUUAGCCCAAACUUCUAU
Long non-coding RNA from Amaranthus tricolor (Joseph's coat), 536 nucleotides. RefSeq lists it as uncharacterized. The transcript is spliced from 3 exons. The record is from RefSeq and is a predicted model, not a curated record. Lineage: Eukaryota; Viridiplantae; Streptophyta; Magnoliopsida; Caryophyllales; Amaranthaceae.